This is a non-coding RNA of Zootermopsis nevadensis, 4376 nucleotides long. The record is from RefSeq and is a predicted model, not a curated record. Lineage: Eukaryota; Metazoa; Arthropoda; Insecta; Blattodea; Termopsidae.
GCAACAAUUACCUACAUGAUGAGGCAUGAAGAACACCUCCAAAGAGAAUGCCUUUCCAAUCUUGUUAAAUAAAAACUCCAUGCCAUCUUCUGAUGUCUUUGCAAUUUCACCCCAGUAGAGAAAGUGGUCGUUAUUUACAACCCUGCCACUGAAAUCAGUCUGAAAGAGAACAAGCAGGUUUUAGACCAGCAGAACUUAGCACAAGCGCACGGACUUUAUCGCAUGAGGAAUGUAACACCACCACCUCUCACACUUCAAACCACAUUUGCAAACAUGCGACCAGUGCACAUGAGAAUGGAGGCCCCCAUGGCACGAACACGGGUGAAACGAUAAUACUCCAAGUUCACCCCCCAAGAUGCUUACAAUGCCCACUCAACACGAUGGCGCUGAUGGGGGUCAACGUGAAAUACGGAGAUCUAAUCGGCUAAACAGGGCAACGAAGUAAUAACAUUGGAAUGUUUGAAUUGAAGUAUGCUAGAUACAAUCCAAGUAGUUUAUAUAAAUUGGGAAUUUUAAUUAGUUCCUUCGCUACUAUAUAGCUGAUUCACAACAUAUCUGUGGCAUUUUCGGAUUAGUUUGUCAAAUAGAAAAUCCCUUAUUUAAAUGUUUUUCCUGUCGGCCUACAAGAGAUCUGUUCCCAAAUCAAUAAUGAUUCAGCCAGACAAACGUGGGAGGAGAGUGGAAUUAAAAACAAAAUAUCUCAACAAAACUGGGGGAAAUUGUUAAUAGUUAUAAUAAAUUGCGUGCAAUGUUCUUGCAUUCUGCGUACCUUCACUCUUUGACUUUUAAGUGAUACUAAUUUCGUUAAACAUCCUUAGUUUGCAAUUUUCGCCUCAUUUGCCCUCUUUGUGGUCUCUCUCAAAAAGUUAUUUCCAGUAGUAAUGUAAGUAGUUUCAUAUAUGCAAUUUAAAUUCUUCUCCUUCCCCUCUGCCCCCCACCCCAUCUGGCGCUAGCGAGCAGUAGGAGAGACUUGUAACUCAGAAGUAGGUUGUAUUCUUAAGGAGUCAGUAUUUUCGAUACGCACUUUGAAAGUGUCAUAUUGAUAACAAUUCCCUUAGAUCGUCAGUAUACAUUACUAAGUAGUUAUACACCUUCCGCAGACUAUUUAGGAACAUAGCCUGUAUGACAAAUUAAAUAUAAUAAUAUAUAUUACAGACUGACAUCCGCAAAAGUAGACACGUGUGUUUCAGGAGUAAAAAGAAAUAGAAUAAGUUCCUGAAGUAUAUGCGAAGGCCAACUUAAAUUUUGAAUCUCGAAAUAGGUUUCGCAGCCCAAAGUUUUGUAAUGAAAAAAGAAAAGACUAUUAAACUUACAAGACGCAGUUCGUGUGCUUCAGAUGAACUAACACUACGGAUAGGCCUAUGCAAGUACCCGCUGGACAGACCAGACGGUUUCCGGCGCUGAAAUGGACGGCGCAGCAGUAGCGUCUUUCUUGAGGAUCUACCUAUUGGUACGCUCAACUAAUCAAGAAAUUCUCAGACUUUUCUGGAACCAAAAGAUUCAUUACCGUGUUCACAUGACCCCGCCUCCGAUCUCUAUUCUGAGUCAGAUGAAUUCAAUCUACAUUCCCAAACCCUUCGACUCUAAGAACCAUUUUAAUAUUAUCCCCCAAUAUACGCCCAGGUCUUCCUAUUUGUUUCUUCUCUCCAGACUUUCCCAACUGCCUGAUGCGCGCUGUAUGCCCUGCCCAUCUCAUUCUCCUUGAUUUGAUUAUCCUAAUAAUAUUUGACGAAGAGUGAAACACGCGGAGCUUCUGACUGUGCAGUUUUCUCCAGUCUGUUGUUAAUUUAUUCCUCUUAAAUAUCCUGCUAUCAACAUUACGAUUUGCAGUACAAGACAUUGAUUUUAUUAUAUAGCGAGAGACACCGGUUAAAUUAAUUUGUUAAAAAUAUAACUUUCCCAUUAAAAAUAUACAUUAUUACGCCAAAUUCAACACUUGAAUUCCCAUAUCAAUACUUGAGAAAAUAUCUGGUUUUGAGGUCUUGUCAAUGUUCUUUUAAAGGGUGAAAUAUUUUAUUCUGAUCAUAAUAACCCUCAUGUUAUGAGGCUUUCUUAUCUGCACAGUUCACAAUUAUAGCAUCGAAUAAUAAUUGUUACGGUGGCUGUAAAAUUUUAAUUGAAAAGUGUACAAUUGUGAUCAGUUUUAACAAACGAUCUCAGUACUUUCCUGGAUGGACUGGGUAAAACCACAGAACCCUCGGCCAUGACAGUCGAUAUACGUACCGAGAUUGGAACCCGUUAUCUCCUUAAUACAAAGCGGCACUGCUAAACAUUCGACCGUGAUUUCUGAUAACGUAACAGUGAAAGGUUUUUAAUCAUGCAACUUUUAGGUAAUUAGUUUAUUAUAGUGUUUCGAAGCAGAAUUUUCAGCGCACCGGGAAAUAAGCAAGAAAUGGGCAGUGCCUCUAACAAUUCAACGCAAGAAUUAACAGCGAUGUGUGUCAAGAUCCUACGCCACAGAGAAACUAUGGUGGCUGAAAAGGAAGCUUUUGCUUUCGCAGUAAAAUUGCAGUUAUUUGUUUAAGAAACAGCAAAUACUCAUGCAAUCGCUGUAAUAGCUUAAAUGUAGAAAGAUGUUCUGGGAGACAUUUGGAUAGUCAACACGGUUUGAAGAAUUCGUACAUGAACUAUGACAAUGCAGAAUUUGCCUCACGUGAAUCUACGCAGAUUUCUGAAGAUCUCAGCACCCAAACGUUGCUAAUGAUCUAAAUUGAAGGCGCAAGAAUACAUAAAAUAUCGUAACAUCUCCGACCACACUUUUCGGAUAAAACUGGACGCUGAGGAAAUUCUGUUGUUCCUUGUUGGCACAGAACCAAAAAUGCAACUUCGAGUGAAUAAAAUGUGUUAAUUCAUGCUAAAAUGUUAAAACAGCAAUACUCACAACUAUGGUCGGGUCGUAGUUUGAUAAUCCCUAUAAUCCCCUAAAAGAGUAUUGGCCGACAUUCGCGUGUUUUCCAGUUUGACAGGCACAUCGCCAAAAACUCUGCUUGAGAAUGGAUCACCUGCCGUUAUUACACCACGGCUAGAAGUGCUGGUGUAUCUCUGACCAUCACAAACCUGCGAUAGCAAGCUUCGACGUUUGCAGUCCAAGAGAAGAGCUAGCAACUACGCUACGUUCUUACGCCUGAACUGGGGCUUCCAACGUCACAUGCAGACGGGACCAAGGACCAUUAAAUCGUGGCGCCUGUGAAAUGACGCAGAAAAGUAGUGAGAAAGGGAGAAGAUAAAGGUAACAAGAAAAAACCAAAAAUAGAUUCGGAAAGCAGGAAAUGAAGUCAAGAAAAUAGUCUUAUGCCUGCAUGAACUGUCGUUACAGUGAUUACAGGAUGUAUUCUCUGCAAGACGACUGAAUCUAUAAUUAUGACGUCAUCGAGGGUUUAAUUAACAUUCGUCCAUCACCCAUCGUCAUUGGUAUUACGUGUAAAUGUAUUGGAAGGCCAGAAUUAGUACGUGAUAGCGAAACAUUUCAUCAGACGAAUGAAAACGUAUGCCAACCCCCAUUCUCGUUAUUCUUGCCCAAGAGACCGACCGAUUAUAGCCAUUACGCCUUCUGACUACAGCUAUUUUCUAAAUCCUAUUCAGGCUUUUGCAGAUGACAAUCGGAGUGCGACUCAGUCAGUAAAACUGCAAUCUGCAAUACGUUUUUAUAUUUUCUUAGAUUUAUUAAAUUUGCUUUUUAAGUUUUUAUUUAUAUAAUUAAUUUUAAAUUGUAUAACUUGGUCUCGAUUUCUUUAAUAUAUAAGAAUGCAACUUCUUGUUAUUACUUGAUAUUUUUGAUGUUAUAACUUUUGAACUCUUAUUGCAUUUUUUAAAUUUCUGACUCUUCUUGAGGGAGACGAAAUUUCUUAGAUGACUUUUGAAUAGCCACUGCCUAUUCUGAACAAAGAGACAGACACACAAAAACACUAAACAGCUAACGUUGUGGAACGUAAUCUUUCAUGAGAAGCUAAUAAUUGCUCAGGUCGUAAAUACUUUUCCCACCUUUUAUGGUACACGAAGGCGUGUUACCGUAUUGACAAUAGACCACCACUGGAGUCUAUUCUGAGCCAGAUGAGUCAAGUACAUAUACCCCAGACGCUGUCUCUUGAAAGUUCCACUCCCAUCUAUGCCUUACUCUCCCAGAUGCUCUUUCUUCGUAUUCAGAUUUUCUGACUAAGAGCCAUUGUGCUUUUAUCUUAUGUGCAACAUGCCCUUCAUUUGAUAACCUUAAUAAUAUUUAGUAAAGAGAAAACACACAUUCUAUAUACUUUAAAAUUAUAAAUUAUUUCACAGUUACCUCCAGUCUGUUCGUUUCAAAUAUUCAUUUCAUCAUUAUGAUCUUGAAAACCCCUUCCUUUAGCGCAAGAUAUCAAGAUUUGCACCCAUACAGAAAGCAC